AUUUCCUCGUUGAAAUUCUCCACAAAAUGCAUUAAUUCAAUAUUUAAGAUUUUUUGAUGAAUAAAUAAUAGCUCAAACGCUGUUUUACUGUAUAGCUGAAAAAAUCCAGAAUUGUUAAUUAUGAAAUUCUGGGAAUGUUUUAAGAACUGAAACGGGAAGUGAGAUCCUAAACAAAUGUAGUCCAACUCCAGUUCAUAACGUUUCAUUCUCACAGUCCAUCAGAGUGGAGUGUGUGUGUGGGACUGAAGGACUGGGUUCUACUGCUGUUCUCUGGACUAAAUGAAAAUGCUGCUGAUCUGUGGAGUUCUGCUGAUGUUCACAGGAUCUGCUGUGGGUCUGAUUACAGUAGAUGAUCGGUGCAGAUCUGAUCAGAGCUGUGUGUUUUAUGGAGCUGUGGGACGCCGGCUGGACCUGCAGCUUCCUAAAGAUGAGGAAUUAAAAUUUUUUAGGAUAAAGAGAAGAUUUUUUUCUGAUUGCAUUUUACAUUUUAAAAACCAAAAAAUUAUAGAAAACCCUUCAGAUCCAAGAUGGGAGUUUAAUACUGAAAACAGAACCAUGACAAUAACCAGAGCAGAGAAAAGAGAUUCAGCAGGAUACAGAUUAGAAACCUUCAAUUCAACUGGAUCUAACACAGGCAUUUACUAUCUCCAUCUGAUUAUAGAAGCUGCGGUGUCGUCAGUGAAAGUGACGAACAGCUGUUUCUCCAUUACGGAGAGAAAAGUUCACUGUUCAUCUGAUGGAGAUCAGAUUCAGUUCAGCUGGACUCUGGAUGGAAUUCCUCAUAAUCAGAAUCUGACUGAUGGGAAUCGGACUCUCCUGCUGGGUGAAAGAUCUACUGGAAACUUCACCUGCACUGUAAAGAAUCACGUCAGCAGCGGAUCUGCUACGGUUAUAAUAGAGCCCUGUCCUGACUUACUUCUGAUCAUGCUGGGCUUGUUUGCUGUAUUGCUCAUCGUGGUUGCCGUCAUAGUGUGCCAUAUUUACAGGAAGAAACAAGCUCCAAAGACCACAGGAUCACCUCAGAAUGGGGAGGAACUGCUGUAUGUUCAUGUCAAUCAUAAACCCAAACCCAAAGACGGGGAGGAAGGAACCAGCAGACCAGCUCGAGUUCAGGAGGAGGAAGUGGAGUACGCCUCGGCCGUCAGGCAGCCCAAGCAGAAGAAGAAGAAGAAGAAGGAGCCGAAGGAGGAGGAAGUUCAGUACGGAGAGGUGGUCUUCAAAACCCCCGCCAAAAAGCAGCGAGAGCAGCCCGAGGAGGAGUGCGUUUACUCGCAGGUUCAGCACAAGCGGUGAGGACCACCCGCCAGCGCUAGCGCUCGGUUUACCGUCAAUCUGAGAAACUCAUGAUCAGAAAACUGAUUAUGUUAGUGGUGAAUGUUUAUGGGUGCUUCUUAAUAUGUUACUGUUUUAUUUAUACAUUAUUAUACCAUUAAUUAUAAAGCUAUGUAAGAAAUGUACAUUUUAUGUUUGAUAAGAAACAUAAAAAGGGUAUUUCUUAUUAAUGUGUAAUAAACCCUUAACUAAGUAUCA
RNAcentral lists this long non-coding RNA (1530 nucleotides) under Astyanax mexicanus (Mexican tetra). Its description in RNAcentral is "lncRNA (ENSAMXG00005010456.1)". The record is from RNAcentral. Lineage: Eukaryota; Metazoa; Chordata; Actinopteri; Characiformes; Acestrorhamphidae.